AUAUCAGUAAGCGGAGGAAAAGAAAAUAACAAUGAUUACCUCAGUAGCGGCGAGUGAAGAGGUAUUAGCCCAAGAUGUUAAUCUGUAAUAAAGUUACGGAAUUGUAAUCUAUAGAAUUUCUCGGAAAGCAGCGGCUUGUCAUAAGUUCCUUGGAACAGGACACCAAAGAGGGUGAAAGUCCCGUAUUUGGAUGAGCCAAAGCAAUACGAGGUGUUUCUAAGAGUCGUGUUGCUUGGAACUGCAGCACUAAGAGGGAGAUAUGAUUCUUCCAAAGCUAAAUAUGGAUGGGAGACCGAUAGCGCACAAGUA
This 309-nucleotide ribosomal RNA is filed under the name uncultured eukaryote. RNAcentral describes it as "partial large subunit ribosomal RNA". It matches the Rfam family "Eukaryotic large subunit ribosomal RNA", at positions 40 to 350 of the family's 3401-position model. The record is from RNAcentral.